UACGUAGGUGGCAAGCGUUGUCCGGAAUUAUUGGGCGUAAAGCGCGCGCAGGCGGUCCCUUAAGUCUGAUGUGAAAGCCCACGGCUCAACCGUGGAGGGUCAUUGGAAACUGGGGGACUUGAGUACAGAAGAGGAAAGCGGAAUUCCACGUGUAGCGGUGAAAUGCGUAGAGAUGUGGAGGAACACCAGUGGCGAAGGCGGCUUUCUGGUCUGUAACUGACGCUGAGGCGCGAAAGCGUGGGGAGCGAUCCGG
RNAcentral lists this ribosomal RNA (253 nucleotides) under uncultured bacterium. Its description in RNAcentral is "partial 16S ribosomal RNA". It matches the Rfam family "Bacterial small subunit ribosomal RNA", at positions 524 to 776 of the family's 1533-position model. The record is from RNAcentral.